UGGUUUUCGGAAAAAGAAAAAUUCCGAAAUUAAAAGGGAAGCAGGUGUGAAUCCUGCACAACAGCCAUUACUGUAUUUGUGAUUAAGCGUUUGUAAUAUGUCAUUGGUAAAUUUUACCGAGAAGGCACAAUCGCAGCGAAAAAUAUAAGCAGCACAUAAGUCAGGAGACCUGCCUCUUUCC
Molecule: non-coding RNA, 181 nt
Filed under: bovine gut metagenome
Source: RNAcentral